AAAGACAAAAAAAAAAAAAAAAAGUGCACUGUCACUUUGAAAUAAACAAAUAGAAAAAAGGAAUUACAAUGUAUCUGUCCUUUAUUUUUGGAUUAUUCAUGAUUCUCUUUGCUGCUGCUGAGAGUUCUCCAUAUGAGGCCAUUAAUGAUACUCGACAGGCAGUCACCUCCCAAGACAAUGAGGACGAUACUUGUAAUCCUUCCAAGAUGGCCAUAAAAUGUUGUAUAUGUUUGAAUACACUAGCGAAAUAUUUACCCAUAAUAAAUGCACUGAUUGACAAGAAAAUAAACGCUAUAUGCCGUGCCAACAAAUUGCUCUGGGCACCAUGUAAAAUACUUGCCAAAAAGAUUAAAAAAAAGGUUUUCAAAGGAUUUUUCCCAGGACUAUCCCCUCGCAAAUCCUGCGUCAAGUACAAAAUGUGCUAAUUCUGGGAUUGAUUAAACCUAUAACAAGUCAAUCAAAGUACCAGCUCUUUAGAUAAGAUUGCUCACUUGUAUGUUUUGGCAGAAGCAUGAGCUAAUAAAUGUUUGAAUGCAAAAGUGGCAUGAGCAGGUGAUUCAUUCUGUAUUUUUUUAUUUUAAUUUUUUUGAAAACACAUCUAAAAUACACUUACAUUAAGAGAAAAGGAUUUAAUGUCAUUUAGUGAUUUAAUAUCUCUAAACCAGUUUUAAUUCAAUACAUCAAAAAUCAAUUAAUCAAUUCAAGAAUUCAGGAACAAUAUUACUGAUGGUUAGGUGAACUGAAGAGACAGUCAGUGUAGAAAAUGCUGACAGGAGCUCUUAGGAACACACUUUGACACUUUGGUCCACCCACAGUGGCUUUGGUGCCUUGAACAUCAGCACUCCAAAACACUUGCAUAGACAUUUAUUAUCUUCAGCGUUCUUCGUAACUGUGAAGAAGAGGAGCACAGACAAACACAAGAGAGAUAUAGAGUGUGAAAAGUAUCACUUCAACUGAAAAUCGUCUGAAAUCUUGAAGAAAGCGGAUGUGUUUUAGCUAAGCAUCUUAUUAAGUAGAGGAUUUGAAGAAUAAUGUCGCCUGUUGUUCAUUUUGGACUGCUUGUCGCAUGCUCAGUUAUUGUUGGGUGUAGCAGCAUAACUAACAAGGCACAAUGGAAAAGCAUGCUGGAGAGAAAAAGCUGAACCUUCCCGAAGAAUUCAAAAUGAGUCAUGAAUUGAACAUAGAGAACUCUGAGAUGAAUGCCAUUAUGUGCUGGAUUUGCAAGAAGUCAAUUCAUGAGAUCAAGGGUGUGAUUCUCCAUGAGAUUAAAAAGGAAAUACAGGCAGUGUGCAAAGCAAUGAAAAUCCUUGAACACAUCUGUGAGCACAAUGCUUACAAAUACCAAUUCAUGAUACUUCAUCUACUGUUUCCUGGUAAUAGCGAACAAACCUGUCACCAUUUGAGCAUGUG
This is a long non-coding RNA of Onychostoma macrolepis, 1410 nucleotides long. RefSeq lists it as uncharacterized. The record is from RefSeq and is a predicted model, not a curated record. The transcript has 7 exons. Lineage: Eukaryota; Metazoa; Chordata; Actinopteri; Cypriniformes; Cyprinidae.